GACGAACGCUGGCGGCGUGCCUAACACAUGCAAGUGGAGCGAAGAACCGGGGCUUGCGCCGGGGCCGAGCGGCGAACGGGUGAGUGACACAUGGGUGAACUGCCCCGAUGACUGGGAGAACCCGUCGAGAGACGGGCGAAUAACGGGUGUGCCACUUGGGGGAAAGGAAGGUUCGGUGUCCGCAUCGGGAUGGGCCGGCGGCGCAUUAGCUUGUUGGGCGGGUAAUGGCUUACCAAGGCGACGAUGCGUAGCAGGGCUGAGAGGACGAUCGGCCACACUGGGACUGAGCCACGGCCCAGACUCCUACGGGAGGCAGCAGUGGGGAAUCUUGCGCAAUGGGCGAAAGCGUGACGCAGCAACGCCGCGUGCGUGAAGACGGCCUUCGGGUCGUAAACCGCUCUCAGUGGGGACGAGCCUUUGUGCGUGAAUAGCGGUUUGGAGUGACGGUACCUUCUGAAGAAGCGCCGGCUAACUACGUG
This 479-nucleotide ribosomal RNA is filed under the name uncultured bacterium. RNAcentral's name for it is "partial 16S ribosomal RNA". It matches the Rfam family "Bacterial small subunit ribosomal RNA", at positions 28 to 507 of the family's 1533-position model. The record is from RNAcentral.